This 216-nucleotide long non-coding RNA is filed under the name Elaeis guineensis (African oil palm). RNAcentral describes it as "long non-coding RNA (EGUI_LNC025335)". The record is from RNAcentral. Lineage: Eukaryota; Viridiplantae; Streptophyta; Magnoliopsida; Arecales; Arecaceae.
CUCUAUCAAGAUGGAUAAUGGAUCAUGACCUUUUCUUUUAAUAUUUUUAAAUUAGAUUCAAAAGUAAUUAUGUAAUUAAAAAAUUUGCUUUAUGAGUUUUUAGUUUGUUUUUUUUUCCUUUCGGCAUUUUAUUUAAAUUAGAUGGAUGGAGCUUCGGAUUAAAUAAUAAUAAUCAAAUCAAGCAUCUCUGGCUUUCUAUUUGAUCGUAUCACGCCC